RNAcentral lists this ribosomal RNA (1372 nucleotides) under uncultured bacterium. RNAcentral's name for it is "bacterial SSU rRNA". It matches the Rfam family "Bacterial small subunit ribosomal RNA", at positions 28 to 1381 of the family's 1533-position model. The record is from RNAcentral.
GAUGAACGCUGGCGGCGUGCCUAAUACAUGCAAGUCGAGCGAACAGAUAAGGAGCUUGCUCCUUUGAAGUUAGCGGCGGACGGGUGAGUAACACGUGGGUAACCUACCUAUAAGACUGGGAUAACUUCGGGAAACCGGAGCUAAUACCGGAUAACAUUUACAACCACAUGGUUCUAAAGUGAAAGAUGGUUUUGCUAUCACUUAUAGAUGGACCCGCGCCGUAUUAGCUAGUUGGUAAGGUAACGGCUUACCAAGGCGACGAUACGUAGCCGACCUGAGGGGGUGAUCGGCCACACUGGAACUGAGACACGGUCCAGACUCCUACGGGAGGCAGCAGUAGGGAAUCUUCCGCAAUGGGCGAAAGCCUGACGGAGCAACGCCGCGUGAGUGAUGAAGGGUUUCGGCUCGUAAAACUCUGUUAUUAGGGAAGAACAAAUGUGUAAGUAACUGUGCACAUCUUGACGGUACCUAAUCAGAAAGCCACGGCUAACUACGUGCCAGCAGCCGCGGUAAUACGUAGGUGGCAAGCGUUAUCCGGAAUUAUUGGGCGUAAAGCGCGCGUAGGCGGUUUCUUAAGUCUGAUGUGAAAGCCCACGGCUCAACCGUGGAGGGUCAUUGGAAACUGGGAAACUUGAGUGCAGAAGAGGAAAGUGGAAUUCCAUGUGUAGCGGUGAAAUGCGCAGAGAUAUGGAGGAACACCAGUGGCGAAGGCGACUUUCUGGUCUGUAACUGACGCUGAUGUGCGAAAGCGUGGGGAUCAAACAGGAUUAGAUACCCUGGUAGUCCACGCCGUAAACGAUGAGUGCUAAGUGUUAGGGGGUUUCCGCCCCUUAGUGCUGCAGCUAACGCAUUAAGCACUCCGCCUGGGGAGUACGACCGCAAGGUUGAAACUCAAAGGAAUUGACGGGGACCCGCACAAGCGGUGGAGCAUGUGGUUUAAUUCGAAGCAACGCGAAGAACCUUACCAAAUCUUGACAUCCUUUGAAAACUCUAGAGAUAGAGCCUUCCCCUUCGGGGGACAAAGUGACAGGUGGUGCAUGGUUGUCGUCAGCUCGUGUCGUGAGAUGUUGGGUUAAGUCCCGCAACGAGCGCAACCCUUAAGCUUAGUUGCCAUCAUUAAGUUGGGCACUCUAGGUUGACUGCCGGUGACAAACCGGAGGAAGGUGGGGAUGACGUCAAAUCAUCAUGCCCCUUAUGAUUUGGGCUACACACGUGCUACAAUGGACAAUACAAAGGGCAGCUAAACCGCGAGGUCAUGCAAAUCCCAUAAAGUUGUUCUCAGUUCGGAUUGUAGUCUGCAACUCGACUACAUGAAGCUGGAAUCGCUAGUAAUCGUAGAUCAGCAUGCUACGGUGAAUACGUUCCCGGGUCU